Molecule: ribosomal RNA, 488 nt
Filed under: uncultured soil bacterium
Lineage: Bacteria
Description: bacterial SSU rRNA
Rfam family: Bacterial small subunit ribosomal RNA
Source: RNAcentral
AGAUUGAACGCUGGCGGCAGGCCUAACACAUGCAGGUCGAGCGGCAGCACGGGUACUUGUACCUGGUGGCGAGCGGCGGACGGGUGAGUAAUGCCUAGGAAUCUGCCUGGUAGUGGGGGAUAACGCUCGGAAACGGACGCUAAUACCGCAUACGUCCUACGGGAGAAAGCAGGGGACCUUCGGGCCUUGCGCUAUCAGAUGAGCCUAGGUCGGAUUAGCUAGUUGGUGAGGUAAUGGCUCACCAAGGCGACGAUCCGUAACUGGUCUGAGAGGAUGAUCAGUCACACUGGAACUGAGUCACGGUCCAGACUCCUACGGGAGGCAGCAGUGGGAAUAUGGACAAUGGGCGAAGCCUGAUCCAGCCAUGCCGCGUGUGUGAAGAAGGUCUUCGGAUUGUAAAGCACGUUUAAGUUGGAGGAAGGCAGUUACUAAGUACGUAUCUGUUUGACGUUACGACAGAAUAAGCACCGCUAACUCUGUCGCCAGCA